Molecule: long non-coding RNA, 1337 nt
Filed under: Salmo salar (Atlantic salmon)
Lineage: Eukaryota; Metazoa; Chordata; Actinopteri; Salmoniformes; Salmonidae
Description: lncRNA (ENSSSAG00000105899.1)
Source: RNAcentral
CUCUAGCGCGCCUGAGUCACGUGAUAGGACAGAUUUUCUCAUAAGGACCAAUGGAAAGGUCUUACAUUCACAAACUCCGCCCACCCGGAACUCGCGGGACAGAUGAAUGCACACUGAAGGAGCACGAAUAGCACUGCUCGUCCUGUUUUAGGUUUCGUAGAUGUUUGACUCGACCUGCUUUGUAUUAUACCGACGAUGGACCGCAAACGGAGCAAGGCACAGGCCGAGGCUAUGGCUGCAGAUCUCAGUGACGUCACUUCAAUGAAUCUGCUUGGCGUCGCCGAUGUAAAUCAGUGGAUAGAACUUGUGAAAGAUUACUCGGUGGCUGGAGAUCACACACAUGUCCUCUCUGAAUCUGAAGAUGGUGACGGUGAUGACGAUUAUGACAUGGAUCACUCAGUUAUCACAGAUGAAGUUGAGAUGAUUAUGAUUAGAGUGCGCAACGCGAUGGAACCGGGUUAUGACAAGGAGAUGGACAAAAUCCGUCAAUUUGAUUGCAAAUGCGGAGAGGGGCGGAAGGAAGACAACGAAGGAUCGUGCACAAAAAAGUUGUACCCAGACCGCAUCUACAAAUACAGGCGUAAUAUGGCAUCCUUAACACAGAGGUUGAGAGACAUUGCCAUUCUCGGAGUAUUAAAUACCAUCGCACCUAUACUUACCGUAGGUGCGAAGCCCCAGUGUUCCAAGACAGGUGAGCAGACUCAACGGAACCCCCAAACACUUCCAUACCUGGUUGGAGGUGUUCCAGUCUGCGAGGAAUCAUUUCUAUUCAUAUAUGGCAUCAGCAGAGAGCGUCUAAUAUUCCUCCACCGAUCCUACCAGGAGAACGGUACAAAGCCACCCACCUCACCAACUACCACUGGUCGUCCACAUAAUCCUGUAGCCCCUGCGGCUGCCACUGUCCGGCCACGCAAGCCCCGUGCUACUGCGAAGAAGAAAUAGCAAGUCUUGACCAGCAAAUGCAUAUCUUUCACUAUUUUUUCCUCUCUCUCCCCCUUUAUCUUUCUCUCUCUCUAUCCAGGGCCUAAACCCAAGUUCCACAUCACGACAGGCACGGCCCAGACCAGAGUCGUGUGCAGAGCUCCUGGAGGCUGGCUGGAGGAAAAGGACUUGAUGAAGGUGUAUGGAUGUGGUUUCCUGGAUGGAAUGGAGCACGGAUGUGUCACGUCCUGACCAGUAUAAGGGGUUAUUGGUUAUUGUAGUUUGGUCAGGACGUGGCAGGGGGUAUUUGUUUUAUAUGGUUCGGGGUGUGUGUGUACUUAGAGGGGUGUUGUAUUUAUGUGUUCCGGGGUUUUUGGUUUAUGUUCUUGUUUUGUAUUCUAGGUUGUCUAUGUUGU